AGGACGAACGCUGGCGGCGUGCUUAACACAUGCAAGUCGAGCGGAAAGGCCCUUCGGGGUACUCGAGCGGCGAACGGGUGAGUAACACGUGAGCAACCUGCCCCUAGCUCUGGGAUAGCUCCGGGAAACCGGGAUUAAUACCAGAUACGACCACUUUAGACAUCUGCUGUGGUGGAAAGGAUUCCGGCUAGGGAUGGGCUCGCGGCCUAUCAGCUUGUUGGUGGAGUAACGGCCCACCAAGGCGACGACGGGUAGCCGGCCUGAGAGGGCGACCGGCCACACUGGGACUGAGACACGGCCCAGACUCCUACGGGAGGCAGCAGUGGGGAAUAUUGCGCAAUGGGCGAAAGCCUGACGCAGCGACGCCGCGUGGGGGAUGAAGGCCUUCGGGUUGUAAACCCCGUUUCAGCAGGGACGAAGCGAAAGUGACGGUACCUGCAGAAGAAGCGCCGGCUAACUACGCGCCAGCAGCCGC
RNAcentral lists this ribosomal RNA (475 nucleotides) under uncultured bacterium. RNAcentral's name for it is "SSU rRNA". It matches the Rfam family "Bacterial small subunit ribosomal RNA", at positions 26 to 518 of the family's 1533-position model. The record is from RNAcentral.